GAAUUUUGGACAAUGGGGGCAACCCUGAUCCAGCCAUGCCGCGUGUGUGAAGAAGGCCUUUUGGUUGUAAAGCACUUUAUGCAGUGAAGAAGACUCCAUGUUUAAUACCCCUGGACGAUGACCUUACCUGCAGAACAAGCACCCGCUAACUCUGUGCCAGCAGCCGCGGUAAUACAGAGGGUGCAAGCGUUAAUAGGAAUUACUGGGCGUAAAGCGAGCGUAGGUGGCUUGAUAAGUCAGAUGUGAAAUCCCCGGGCCUAACCUGGGAACUGCAUCUGAUACUGUUAGGCUAGAAUAGGUGAGAGGAAGGUAGAAUUCCAGGUGUAGCGGUGAAAUGCGUAGAGAUCUGGAGGAAUACCGAUGGCGAAGGCAGCCUUCUGGCAUCAUAUUGACACUGAGGUUCGAAAGCGUGGGUAGCAAAC
RNAcentral lists this ribosomal RNA (422 nucleotides) under uncultured bacterium. RNAcentral's name for it is "partial 16S ribosomal RNA". It matches the Rfam family "Bacterial small subunit ribosomal RNA", at positions 359 to 773 of the family's 1533-position model. The record is from RNAcentral.